GAUGAACGCUGGCGGCGUGCCUAAUACAUGCAAGUUGAGCGCUGAAGGUUGGUACUUGUACCGACUGGAUGAGCAGCGAACGGGUGAGUAACGCGUGGAGAAUCUGCCUUUGAGCGGGGGACAACAUUUGGAAACGAAUGCUAAUACCGGAUAAAAACUUUAAACACAAGUUUUAAGUGUGAAAGAUGCAAUUGCAUCACUCAAAGAUGAUCUCGCGUUGUAUUGGCUAGUUGGUGAGGUAAAGGGUCACCAAAGCGAUGAUACAUAGCCGACCUGAGAAGGUGAUCGGCCACAUUUGGAAUGAGACACGGCCCAAACACCUUCGGGAGGCAGCAGUAGGGGAUCUUCCGCAAUGGGCGAAAGUCUGACCGAGCAACGCCGCGUGAGUGGAUGAGGUUUUCUGAUCGUAAAACUCUGUUGGUAGAGAAGAACGUUGGUGUGAGUGGAAAGUUCAUCAAGUGACGGUAACUACCCAGAAAGGCACGGCUAACUACGUG
RNAcentral lists this ribosomal RNA (497 nucleotides) under uncultured bacterium. RNAcentral describes it as "partial 16S ribosomal RNA". It matches the Rfam family "Bacterial small subunit ribosomal RNA", at positions 28 to 507 of the family's 1533-position model. The record is from RNAcentral.